CCUACGGUGGGCAGCAGUGGGGGAUAUUGCACAAUGGGGGGAACCCUGAUGCAGCGACGCCGCGUGGGUGAAGAAGCGCCUCGGCGCGUAAAGCCCUGUCAGCAGGGAAGAAAAUGACGGUACCUGAAGCAGAAGCCCCGGCUAACUACGUGCCAGCAGCCGCGGGAAUACGGAGGGGGCAAGCGUUAUCCGGAUUUACUGGGUGUAAAGGGGGCGCAGGGGGCGAUGCAAGCCAGGAGUGAAAGCCCGGGGCCCAACCCCGGGACUGCUGUUGGAACUGCGUGGCUGGAGUGCAGGAGGGGCAGGCGGAAGGCCUGGUGUAGCGGUGAAAUGCGUAGAUAGCAGGAGGAACACCGGUGGCGAAGGCGGCCUGCUGGACUGCAACUGACGUUGAGGCCCGAAAGCGUGGGGAGCAAACAGGAUUAGAUACCCCUGUAGUC
This 440-nucleotide ribosomal RNA is filed under the name uncultured bacterium. RNAcentral's name for it is "partial 16S ribosomal RNA". It matches the Rfam family "Bacterial small subunit ribosomal RNA", at positions 338 to 795 of the family's 1533-position model. The record is from RNAcentral.